GAAAAGUCAGAAACAGUUUUAACGUGAAAACAAGUGGGAGAGGAAAAAGCCAGGCAAGGGAGAAGACCAAGAGAGAAGAGCUUAGGAAUUGACUUGCUGCACUUUAUCUUUGCAAUUCUAAGGUGAUCCUGAGUAGUAGGUGGUGGCUCACAGUGUCUAGGGCUCUGAUACGUGGGAUGGGAUUUUAUUGCUUGAAUUCUUUCCUAUGUAUCAAUUUUGAAAUAUUACUGAUGUAGCCCUUUGGUGAUCGACUUUUAUGUUAAAAUGGCUUUUAUGCCAAGAAUAAUUAUUGUAGACUGAAUGAUGUUGCAAACAAUCCGCUGCGAGUUUAAUGACAAUUUUAUGAACGACGUUUGAUUAAAUAGAUUUUUUUUAUAUACUCUCUAUUUAGUAAAUUUUAAAUGAAGAAAUGUAGCAUGCCUGUUAUGAUUACUCUGAUUAUUGAUGUAUUAUUAUUAAUUAAAUUGAUUUUGGGAAACGGGGUGUUACAGUUGGCCUAG
Molecule: long non-coding RNA, 500 nt
Filed under: Medicago truncatula (barrel medic)
Lineage: Eukaryota; Viridiplantae; Streptophyta; Magnoliopsida; Fabales; Fabaceae
Description: lncRNA gene22473
Rfam family: MIR2617 microRNA precursor family (bases 405-495)
Source: RNAcentral